AGAAUGGGGAAUAUCGGGGAAUGAGGGAAUGUCUCGGGGAAUAUCUCUUUAUAAAGGGGUAAUAUGAUACUCCCCGAUAUAUUCCCCCAUUCCUCGAAUCUUCG
Molecule: non-coding RNA, 104 nt
Organism: Paramuricea clavata
Lineage: Eukaryota; Metazoa; Cnidaria; Anthozoa; Malacalcyonacea; Plexauridae
Source: the annotation of a GenBank genome assembly